GAGCGAAAGCCUAAAACUCAAAAGACUUGACGGUGUCCUAAUCCACCUAGAGGAGCCUGUUUCAUAAUCGAUAACCCACGAUAAACCCAACCACCCUUUGAAAUUUCAGCCUAUAUACCGCCGUCGACAGCCCACCUCAUAAAAGAACAAGAGUAGGCCAAAUAGGACCCACCCCUAAAAAGUCAGGUCAAGGUGUAGCUAAUAAGGUGGAGACAAUGGGCUACAUUUUCUAAAAUAGAACACACGAACUAGUUUUUGAAAUAAAACUACAAAGGCGGAUUUAACAGUAAGCU
Molecule: ribosomal RNA, 293 nt
Filed under: Calyptommatus sinebrachiatus
Lineage: Eukaryota; Metazoa; Chordata; Lepidosauria; Squamata; Gymnophthalmidae
Description: partial 12S ribosomal RNA
Rfam family: Bacterial small subunit ribosomal RNA
Source: RNAcentral